AGCGAACGCUGGCGGCAGGCUUAACACAUGCAAGUCGAGCGGGCAUCCUUGUGGUGUCAGCGGCAGACGGGUGAGUAACGCGUGGGAACGUGCCCUUCGGUUCGGAAUAACUCAGGGAAACUUGAGCUAAUACCGGAUACGUGCGAGAGCAGAAAGGUUUAUCUGACGAAGGAUCGGCCCGCGUCUGAUUAGCUAGUUGGUGAGGUUAUGGCUCACCAAGGCGACGAUCAGUAGCUGGUCUGAGAGGAUGAUCAGCCACACUGGGACUGAGACACGGCCCCGACUCCUACGGAAGGCAGCAGUGGGGAAUAUUGGACACUGGGGGCAACCCUGAUCCAGCCAUGCCGCGUGAGUGAUGACGGCCUUAGGGUUGUAAAGCUCUUUUCUUCGGGACGAUAAUGACGGUACCGGAGGAAUAAGCCCCGGCUAACUUCGUG
RNAcentral lists this ribosomal RNA (437 nucleotides) under uncultured bacterium. RNAcentral describes it as "partial 16S ribosomal RNA". It matches the Rfam family "Bacterial small subunit ribosomal RNA", at positions 29 to 507 of the family's 1533-position model. The record is from RNAcentral.